Molecule: non-coding RNA, 73 nt
Organism: Aedes albopictus (Asian tiger mosquito)
Lineage: Eukaryota; Metazoa; Arthropoda; Insecta; Diptera; Culicidae
Source: Rfam
UGUUGUGUAGCUUAGUUGGUUAAUGCGCCGGUCUAGCGAUACCGAGUCGUGGUUUCAAAUCCUACCAAAACAA